GGCACUUUGGCGGAGUGGUUAACGCGAUGCCCUGCUAUGUUGCAGACAAUGCAUUAUAGUUGGUAGGCAUUCCCUUCGGGGGCGUGUGUUCGAAUCACACAGGUGUCG
Diatrype stigma is the source of this 108-nucleotide non-coding RNA. The record is from the annotation of a GenBank genome assembly. Lineage: Eukaryota; Fungi; Ascomycota; Sordariomycetes; Xylariales; Diatrypaceae.